GGACCGCUAGCCAAAUUGGAAAAGGCACUUGACCACUAAUCAAGAGACAUCGUUCCAGCUUGGACCCUCGGACGCUUCGGCGCCCCCUAGCUCAAGCCUACAAGAGAUUCCAGGUUCGAAUCCUGGGCGGUCCG
Molecule: transfer RNA, 134 nt
Filed under: Anaerolineae bacterium
Lineage: Bacteria; Bacillati; Chloroflexota; Anaerolineae
Description: tRNA-OTHER
Rfam family: tRNA
About the family: Transfer RNA (tRNA) molecules are approximately 80 nucleotides in length. Their secondary structure includes four short double-helical elements and three loops (D, anti-codon, and T loops).
Source: RNAcentral